RNAcentral lists this ribosomal RNA (1375 nucleotides) under Bacillus sp. (in: firmicutes). RNAcentral describes it as "bacterial SSU rRNA". The record is from RNAcentral. Lineage: Bacteria; Bacillati; Bacillota; Bacilli; Caryophanales; Bacillaceae.
UGAGUUUGAUCCUGGCUCAGGACGAACGCUGGCGGCGUGCCUAAUACAUGCAAGUCGAGCGGACAGAAGGGAGCUUGCUCCCGGAUGUUAGCGGCGGACGGGUGAGUAACACGUGGGUAACCUGCCUGUAAGACUGGGAUAACUCCGGGAAACCGGAGCUAAUACCGGAUAGUUCCUUGAACCGCAUGGUUCAAGGAUGAAAGACGGUUUCGGCUGUCACUUACAGAUGGACCCGCGGCGCAUUAGCUAGUUGGUGGGGUAAUGGCUCACCAAGGCGACGAUGCGUAGCCGACCUGAGAGGGUGAUCGGCCACACUGGGACUGAGACACGGCCCAGACUCCUACGGGAGGCAGCAGUAGGGAAUCUUCCGCAAUGGACGAAAGUCUGACGGAGCAACGCCGCGUGAGUGAUGAAGGUUUUCGGAUCGUAAAGCUCUGUUGUUAGGGAAGAACAAGUGCGAGAGUAACUGCUCGCACCUUGACGGUACCUAACCAGAAAGCCACGGCUAACUACGUGCCAGCAGCCGCGGUAAUACGUAGGUGGCAAGCGUUGUCCGGAAUUAUUGGGCGUAAAGGGCUCGCAGGCGGUUUCUUAAGUCUGAUGUGAAAGCCCCCGGCUCAACCGGGGAGGGUCAUUGGAAACUGGGAAACUGGGAAACUUGAGUGCAGAAGAGGAGAGUGGAAUUCCACGUGUAGCGGUGAAAUGCGUAGAGAUGUGGAGGAACACCAGUGGCGAAGGCGACUCUCUGGUCUGUAACUGACGCUGAGGAGCGAAAGCGUGGGGAGCGAACAGGAUUAGAUACCCUGGUAGUCCACGCCGUAAACGAUGAGUGCUAAGUGUUAGGGGGUUUCCGCCCCUUAGUGCUGCAGCUAACGCAUUAAGCACUCCGCCUGGGGAGUACGGUCGCAAGACUGAAACUCAAAGGAAUUGACGGGGGCCCGCACAAGCGGUGGAGCAUGUGGUUUAAUUCGAAGCAACGCGAAGAACCUUACCAGGUCUUGACAUCCUCUGACAACCCUAGAGAUAGGGCUUUCCCUUCGGGGACAGAGUGACAGGUGGUGCAUGGUUGUCGUCAGCUCGUGUCGUGAGAUGUUGGGUUAAGUCCCGCAACGAGCGCAACCCUUGAUCUUAGUUGCCAGCAUUYAGUUGGGCACUCUAAGGUGACUGCCGGUGACAAACCGGAGGAAGGUGGGGAUGACGUCAAAUCAUCAUGCCCCUUAUGACCUGGGCUACACACGUGCUACAAUGGACAGAACAAAGGGCUGCAMGAYCGCRAGGUUUAGCCAAUCCCAUAAAUCUGUUCUCAGUUCGGAUCGCAGUCUGCAACUCGACUGCGUGAAGYUGGAAUCGCUAGUAAUCGCGGAUCASCAUGCCG